Molecule: long non-coding RNA, 404 nt
Organism: Gambusia affinis (western mosquitofish)
Lineage: Eukaryota; Metazoa; Chordata; Actinopteri; Cyprinodontiformes; Poeciliidae
Exons: 4
Source: RefSeq, a predicted model, not a curated record
CUGCCUUAGUCCAAUAGACCAGGAUCAGCUCUGAACAGACCUGCUAACUAGCCAUUCAUUCGAUUCAGGUGUGUUAGAGCAGGGAAGCAUCUGAAAGUUGCAGGAUGGUAGAUCUCGCCGACUGGACUUGAGCACCCAGCGAGGGCCUUCCUCUGAUGCUCCUGUUUACAGAUGGCCUUUCUCUACUGUGUGGAGAGAUGGGGAGACUGAGUGGUCAUUGUUCUCUGCGGUGCCACUGUGCCUGUGUGGCAUUCCCAUCCACCGAGUGGGAAUUCCUUUGCCAGGUUGUGGAACAGGGAAAACGCGAACACGGCAUCCUGUACAGAACGGCUAACUGGUUAAACUGGCUGGUGUCCAGAGACGUUUGGUGUUUCAUCCUGUUAAUGGCUGAAAAUAAAGAAUAA